This 344-nucleotide ribosomal RNA is filed under the name uncultured soil bacterium. RNAcentral's name for it is "bacterial SSU rRNA". It matches the Rfam family "Bacterial small subunit ribosomal RNA", at positions 26 to 371 of the family's 1533-position model. The record is from RNAcentral.
AGAUUGAACGCUGGCGGCAGGCCUAACACAUGCAAGUCGAGCGGUAGAGAGGUGCUUGCAUCUCUUGAGAGCGGCGGACGGGUGAGUAAUGCCUAGGAAUCUGCCUAGUGGUGGGGGAUAACGUUCGGAAACGGACGCUAAUACCGCAUACGUCCUACGGGAGAAAGCGGGGGACCUUCGGGCCUCGCGCCAUUAGAUGAGCCUAGGUCGGAUUAGCUAGUUGGUGAGGUAAUGGCUCACCAAGGCGACGAUCCGUAACUGGUCUGAGAGGAUGAUCAGUCACACUGGAACUGAGACACGGUCCAGACUCCUACGGGAGGCAGCAGUGGGGAAUAGUUGGACAA